UGUGGGCUGGGCUGACUUGAGAGCUCCUUACAGGCAGGGCCAGAGAGCCUCUCUUCAAUCUGCUUCCCCACCUGCUCCCAGCAAGGAGAGUGAAGCCCCAGGAUUGUGAGGUUCACCUCCUGAUCCCACCAGGGCUGAGAUGGAUUUCCAACCCCUGGACCUUUCCCCAGUGAGACCAUCCUGUUCUCUAGAAGCCCUCACUGAGCAUUUGUUCUGAAGUUCUGGUGUUUCCAGGCCUGGAGCAGGAGGAAUAAAGAGUCAGAGUAAUGAAGACCAUCUCCACCAAUCUCCAGCCUUCUCACCUUCCCCAGGCCUCUGGAUGUGUUUGCUGCCUGACUUAACACAUCUCUGAAGAGUGCCUGGCACAUCAUGGUUCAAAACACGAGUCACCGUCAUCAUCGUCACCGUCAUCAUCGUCACCGUCAUCAUCGCCAUCCUCAUCAUCACCCUCAUCCAUAGCUUUGGGAGAGGAAUCUGGAGCAAAAGUAGGAGGCAUCUGCGUUCCUGAACCAUCAGCCACAGCAGUGCCAGGUUUAGCAAAUAAAAAUAUAAGCACAUUUACUCAU
This is a long non-coding RNA of Leopardus geoffroyi (Geoffroy's cat), 566 nucleotides long. RefSeq lists it as uncharacterized. The transcript is spliced from 3 exons. The record is from RefSeq and is a predicted model, not a curated record. Lineage: Eukaryota; Metazoa; Chordata; Mammalia; Carnivora; Felidae.